Long non-coding RNA from Varanus komodoensis (Komodo dragon), 608 nucleotides. RefSeq lists it as uncharacterized. The record is from RefSeq and is a predicted model, not a curated record. The transcript has 5 exons. NCBI's taxonomy places the organism in Eukaryota, Metazoa, Chordata, Lepidosauria, Squamata, Varanidae.
AAAGCAAGUCCCCAAAAAGCAAAAUCCUGCAUUUCCAUGGAUCUCAAUGCAGACAGUUUCUGUUGCCUUGAUAUGCAACUACCAGAGUCCCUCGGACAGAGCAGCAACUUAAGAAGUCAUCCCAGCUUCUGUGUGGAAGAGUGGAAGAAUCUAUGUGGAAGAAUCAGGAAGAGGUCUCACGUGCCUGUUCAGGAGGCAUUCUCAGCAGAUCUGAGAAGAUGCACAGAGACUUAGGUGAAGGAACAGUCAGCGAAAUCCACAUAGCACUGUUGACGGAGCUCAGCCGCAUUUCUGAGCCAAGCUGGAAUGAAGGAUGACCUGGAGACCCCAAGAAGAGCAAGCAGUCCCUGAGGAGGUUUUCCUGUUUUCACUGGUCCCCAGCUGUGGAAAGGUUGAAAACCACUGCUCUAGACAUGCACCAGUUUGUCAUCAUCCUUCUUGGAAUGUGAUCCCUUAGAAGUGGGUACAAUGUUCCAGCUGCAUCCUGACUUUGUAUUAUUCAUUGAAGAAGACAUUGGAUGAGGAAAGAAGCUAUUGGACAGGUCGCUUUGAGUUUCUUGUAAGAAAAAAGUGGGAUAUAAAUCUAAAGAACAAGCACACAAUAAAAG